CCUACGGGAGGCAGCAGUAGGGAAUAUUUCUCACUUUUUUCCCCCCUGAAUCAGCAACGCCGCGUGGAGGAUGAAGGUUUUCGGAUUGUAAACUCCUUUUGUUAGAGAAGAUAAUGACGGUAUCUAACGAAUAAGCACCGGCUAACUCCGUGCCAGCAGCCGCGGUAAUACGGAGGGUGCAAGCGUUACUCGGAAUCACUGGGCGUAAAGAGCGCGUAGGCGGGAUAGCAAGUCAGAUGUGAAAUCCUAUGGCUUAACCAUAGAACUGCAUUUGAAACUGUUAUUCUAGAGUAUGGGAGAGGGAG
This 305-nucleotide ribosomal RNA is filed under the name uncultured bacterium. Its description in RNAcentral is "bacterial SSU rRNA". It matches the Rfam family "Bacterial small subunit ribosomal RNA", at positions 338 to 660 of the family's 1533-position model. The record is from RNAcentral.